UACAGAGGGUGCAAGCGUUGCUCGGAAUUAUUGGGCGUAAAGGGUAGGUAGGUGGUCUCAUUUGUCAGGGGUGAAAGCCUUGGGCUUAACCCGAGAAGUGCCCCUGAAACGGUGAGACUGGAGUACUGGAGAGGUUCGUGGAAUUCCCGGUGUAGCGGUGAAAUGCGUAGAGAUCGGGAGGAACACCAGAGGCGAAGGCGGCGAACUGGACAGUCACUGACACUCAACUACGAAAGCACGGGGAG
This 245-nucleotide ribosomal RNA is filed under the name uncultured bacterium. Its description in RNAcentral is "partial 16S ribosomal RNA". It matches the Rfam family "Bacterial small subunit ribosomal RNA", at positions 524 to 768 of the family's 1533-position model. The record is from RNAcentral.